This 253-nucleotide ribosomal RNA is filed under the name uncultured bacterium. RNAcentral describes it as "partial 16S ribosomal RNA". It matches the Rfam family "Bacterial small subunit ribosomal RNA", at positions 524 to 776 of the family's 1533-position model. The record is from RNAcentral.
UACGUAGGCAGCUAGCGUUGUUCGGAAUUACUGGGCGUAAAGCGCACGUAGGCGGCUUUGUAAGUUAGAGGUGAAAGCCCGGGGCUCAACCCCGGAAUUGCCUUUAAGACUGCAUCGCUUGAAUCCGGGAGAGGUGAGUGGAAUUCCGAGUGUAGAGGUGAAAUUCGUAGAUAUUCGCAAGAACACCAGUGGCGAAGGCGGCUCACUGGCCCGGUACUGACGCUGAGGUGCGAAAGCGUGGGGAGCAAACAGG